GACGAACGCUGGCGGCGUGCUUAACACAUGCAAGUCGAACGAAGAGCGAUGGAAGCUUGCUUCUAUCAAUCUUAGUGGCGAACGGGUGAGUAACGCGUAAUCAACCUGCCCUUCAGAGGGGGACAACAGUUGGAAACGACUGCUAAUACCGCAUACGAUCUAAUCUCGGCAUCGAGGAUAGAUGAAAGGUGGCCUCUACAUGUAAGCUAUCACUGAAGGAGGGGAUUGCGUCUGAUUAGCUAGUUGGAGGGGUAACGGCCCACCAAGGCGAUGAUCAGUAGCCGGUCUGAGAGGAUGAACGGCCACAUUGGGACUGAGACACGGCCCAGACUCCUACGGGAGGCAGCAGUGGGGAAUCUUCCGCAAUGGACGAAAGUCUGACGGAGCAACGCCGCGUGAGUGAUGACGGCCUUCGGGUUGUAAAGCUCUGUUAAUCGGGACGAAAGGCCUUCUUGCGAAUAGUUAGAAGGAUUGACGGACCGAAUAGAA
RNAcentral lists this ribosomal RNA (489 nucleotides) under Veillonella parvula. RNAcentral describes it as "bacterial SSU rRNA". It matches the Rfam family "Bacterial small subunit ribosomal RNA", at positions 28 to 487 of the family's 1533-position model. Lineage: Bacteria; Bacillati; Bacillota; Negativicutes; Veillonellales; Veillonellaceae. The record is from RNAcentral.